GUUGACCUCGGAUCAGGUAGGAAUAC
RNAcentral lists this non-coding RNA (26 nucleotides) under Drosophila melanogaster (fruit fly). The record is from RNAcentral. Lineage: Eukaryota; Metazoa; Arthropoda; Insecta; Diptera; Drosophilidae. RNAcentral also lists the same sequence under 4 other names.